Molecule: ribosomal RNA, 2483 nt
Filed under: Escherichia coli KTE229
Lineage: Bacteria; Pseudomonadati; Pseudomonadota; Gammaproteobacteria; Enterobacterales; Enterobacteriaceae
Also listed under: 1 other name
Description: bacterial LSU rRNA
Rfam family: Bacterial large subunit ribosomal RNA
Source: RNAcentral
AAGGCUAAAUACUCCUGACUGACCGAUAGUGAACCAGUACCGUGAGGGAAAGGCGAAAAGAACCCCGGCGAGGGGAGUGAAAAAGAACCUGAAACCGUGUACGUACAAGCAGUGGGAGCCUCUUUAUGGGGUGACUGCGUACCUUUUGUAUAAUGGGUCAGCGACUUAUAUUCUGUAGCAAGGUUAACCGAAUAGGGGAGCCGAAGGGAAACCGAGUCUUAACUGGGCGUUAAGUUGCAGGGUAUAGACCCGAAACCCGGUGAUCUAGCCAUGGGCAGGUUGAAGGUUGGGUAACACUAACUGGAGGACCGAACCGACUAAUGUUGAAAAAUUAGCGGAUGACUUGUGGCUGGGGGUGAAAGGCCAAUCAAACCGGGAGAUAGCUGGUUCUCCCCGAAAGCUAUUUAGGUAGCGCCUCGUGAAUUCAUCUCCGGGGGUAGAGCACUGUUUCGGCAAGGGGGUCAUCCCGACUUACCAACCCGAUGCAAACUGCGAAUACCGGAGAAUGUUAUCACGGGAGACACACGGCGGGUGCUAACGUCCGUCGUGAAGAGGGAAACAACCCAGACCGCCAGCUAAGGUCCCAAAGUCAUGGUUAAGUGGGAAACGAUGUGGGAAGGCCCAGACAGCCAGGAUGUUGGCUUAGAAGCAGCCAUCAUUUAAAGAAAGCGUAAUAGCUCACUGGUCGAGUCGGCCUGCGCGGAAGAUGUAACGGGGCUAAACCAUGCACCGAAGCUGCGGCAGCGACACUAUGUGUUGUUGGGUAGGGGAGCGUUCUGUAAGCCUGUGAAGGUGGCCUGUGAGGGUUGCUGGAGGUAUCAGAAGUGCGAAUGCUGACAUAAGUAACGAUAAAGCGGGUGAAAAGCCCGCUCGCCGGAAGACCAAGGGUUCCUGUCCAACGUUAAUCGGGGCAGGGUGAGUCGACCCCUAAGGCGAGGCCGAAAGGCGUAGUCGAUGGGAAACAGGUUAAUAUUCCUGUACUUGGUGUUACUGCGAAGGGGGGACGGAGAAGGCUAUGUUGGCCGGGCGACGGUUGUCCCGGUUUAAGCGUGUAGGCUGGUUUUCCAGGCAAAUCCGGAAAACCAAGGCUGAGGCGUGAUGACGAGGCACUACGGUGCUGAAGCGACAAAUGCCCUGCUUCCAGGAAAAGCCUCUAAGCAUCAGGUAACAUCAAAUCGUACCCCAAACCGACACAGGUGGUCAGGUAGAGAAUACCAAGGCGCUUGAGAGAACUCGGGUGAAGGAACUAGGCAAAAUGGUGCCGUAACUUCGGGAGAAGGCACGCUGAUAUGUAGGUGAAGCGACUUGCUCGUGGAGCUGAAAUCAGUCGAAGAUACCAGCUGGCUGCAACUGUUUAUUAAAAACACAGCACUGUGCAAACACGAAAGUGGACGUAUACGGUGUGACGCCUGCCCGGUGCCGGAAGGUUAAUUGAUGGGGUUAGCGGUAACGCGAAGCUCUUGAUCGAAGCCCCGGUAAACGGCGGCCGUAACUAUAACGGUCCUAAGGUAGCGAAAUUCCUUGUCGGGUAAGUUCCGACCUGCACGAAUGGCGUAAUGAUGGCCAGGCUGUCUCCACCCGAGACUCAGUGAAAUUGAACUCGCUGUGAAGAUGCAGUGUACCCGCGGCAAGACGGAAAGACCCCGUGAACCUUUACUAUAGCUUGACACUGAACAUUGAGCCUUGAUGUGUAGGAUAGGUGGGAGGCUUUGAAGUGUGGACGCCAGUCUGCAUGGAGCCGACCUUGAAAUACCACCCUUUAAUGUUUGAUGUUCUAACGUUGGCCCGUAAUCCGGGUUGCGGACAGUGUCUGGUGGGUAGUUUGACUGGGGCGGUCUCCUCCUAAAGAGUAACGGAGGAGCACGAAGGUUGGCUAAUCCUGGUCGGACAUCAGGAGGUUAGUGCAAUGGCAUAAGCCAGCUUGACUGCGAGCGUGACGGCGCGAGCAGGUGCGAAAGCAGGUCAUAGUGAUCCGGUGGUUCUGAAUGGAAGGGCCAUCGCUCAACGGAUAAAAGGUACUCCGGGGAUAACAGGCUGAUACCGCCCAAGAGUUCAUAUCGACGGCGGUGUUUGGCACCUCGAUGUCGGCUCAUCACAUCCUGGGGCUGAAGUAGGUCCCAAGGGUAUGGCUGUUCGCCAUUUAAAGUGGUACGCGAGCUGGGUUUAGAACGUCGUGAGACAGUUCGGUCCCUAUCUGCCGUGGGCGCUGGAGAACUGAGGGGGGCUGCUCCUAGUACGAGAGGACCGGAGUGGACGCAUCACUGGUGUUCGGGUUGUCAUGCCAAUGGCACUGCCCGGUAGCUAAAUGCGGAAGAGAUAAGUGCUGAAAGCAUCUAAGCACGAAACUUGCCCCGAGAUGAGUUCUCCCUGACUCCUUGAGAGUCCUGAAGGAACGUUGAAGACGACGACGUUGAUAGGCCGGGUGUGUAAGCGCAGCGAUGCGUUGAGCUAACCGGUACUAAUGAACCGUGAGGCUUAACCUU